This is a long non-coding RNA of Drosophila elegans, 433 nucleotides long. RefSeq lists it as uncharacterized. Lineage: Eukaryota; Metazoa; Arthropoda; Insecta; Diptera; Drosophilidae. The record is from RefSeq and is a predicted model, not a curated record. The transcript has 2 exons.
CUGUUUAUUUAUUUUUUCUAGGCGCCGGUGUAAAUUUCGACUGUCUGGAGUUUAUUACCGUGGAGGAAAUUAAGGAUGCGAUUCCGCCAAUCGGAAUUAGAGUACUCUUCCGCGAAAAGCUGUUCGCUUGGAGGAAAACAAAGUUUACUCAAGGAAUAUCUUUGCAACCAUCGUCUCCAAAGCCAUCGCCACAAAAGGCACCGCCAGCACUUUUAUCUCCGUUGCCGUCUAAUGCACCUAAAUUCAAAUACACUCUUAACAAGAUAUGAGUCUUUAAGUUCUAAUAAUUAUGUAUAUUUUCAGUAUAAUUGAUAACCAAUAACCUGAGUCUAACAUUAAUUAUAAUUACAAAUUUUUCAAAGAGCUUGAAUAAAACUUUAAGUGGAACGGCUGCUGGAAAAGAACUUCUAGCAUGUAAAAUACUGACUGAAAA